CUGGCUGGACAUAGUCGCCCUAAACUUCGUCUGUACCAUCAAUGGUUUCACCGCUAUCAACCUCACUAAACUUGAUGUCCUCUCUGGACUGCCUGAGGUGAAACUAGGAAUUGCUUACAAAACCCCAUCCGGCGAGAAGCUUAGAGCGUUCCCUGCUGAUCUGUCUAUCCUCGAGCAAGUUGAGGUCAGUUCCUCUUCUAAAACUUCUUCACUCUGUAGGCUUCCUCCUUGUGUCCUCUAUCGUUUUCUGCAGUCUCCUUACAUUGCUGAAUGUAAUGCUAAGCAUUCUGCCUGAUGCAUUGGCUUCUGAUUGUCAGCUUCCUGAUGCUCUUUAUGAUCGUGAUGUGAUGUGUUCGAGUAGGUGGAGUAUGAAAUCUUGGAAGGGUGGAAAGAGGACAUCACUAAAGUUAGAUCGUAUGACGAGCUACCAGCUGCUGCACAAAGGUAUGUGGAGAGGAUAGAGGAGCUUAUUGGGUUACCCUGUCAGUAUAUUGGUGUGGGUCCUGGUCGAGAUGCUUUGAUUGUGAAGCAAUAGUUGGUAGCUU
This 545-nucleotide long non-coding RNA is filed under the name Physcomitrium patens. RNAcentral's name for it is "long non-coding RNA (PPAT_LNC006181)". The record is from RNAcentral. Lineage: Eukaryota; Viridiplantae; Streptophyta; Bryopsida; Funariales; Funariaceae.